CCUACGGGAGGCAGCAGUGGGGAAUAUUGCACAAUGGGGGAAACCCUGAUGCAGCGACGCCGCGUGAGCGAAGAAGUAUUUCGGUGUGUAAAGCUCUAUCAGCAGGGAAGAAAAUGACGGUACCUGACUAAGAAGCUCCGGCUAAAUACGUGCCAGCAGCCGCGGUAAUACGUAUGGAGCAAGCGUUAUCCGGAUUUACUGGGUGUAACGGGAGCGUAGGCGGGAAGGCAAGUCUGCGGGGAAAGGCCAGGGCUCAACCCUGGGACUGCAUUGGAAACUGUGUAACUGGAGUGCCGGAGAGGCAAGCGGAAUUCCUGGUGUAGCGGGGAAAUGCGUAGAUAUCAGGAGGAACACCAGUGGCGAAGGCGGCCUGCUGGACGGUAACUGACGCUGAGGCUCGAAAGCGUGGGGAGCAAACAGGAUUAGAUACCCGUGUAGUC
This 440-nucleotide ribosomal RNA is filed under the name uncultured bacterium. Its description in RNAcentral is "partial 16S ribosomal RNA". It matches the Rfam family "Bacterial small subunit ribosomal RNA", at positions 338 to 795 of the family's 1533-position model. The record is from RNAcentral.